UUUCUUUAAGAAAGUAAGAUCCCUGAGAGAUGGUCAGGUAGAUAGGUCAGGAGUGGAAGUACAGUGAUGUAUGGAGCGGACUGAUACUAAUCGAUCGAGGACUUAACCAA
RNAcentral lists this ribosomal RNA (110 nucleotides) under Enterococcus faecium. RNAcentral describes it as "partial 23S ribosomal RNA". It matches the Rfam family "Bacterial large subunit ribosomal RNA", at positions 2814 to 2925 of the family's 2925-position model. The record is from RNAcentral. Lineage: Bacteria; Bacillati; Bacillota; Bacilli; Lactobacillales; Enterococcaceae.